This is an RNA transcript of Populus euphratica (Euphrates poplar), 1550 nucleotides long. It is a transcript of the gene named nuclear transcription factor Y subunit A-1-like, with no coding region annotated. The record is from RefSeq and is a predicted model, not a curated record. Lineage: Eukaryota; Viridiplantae; Streptophyta; Magnoliopsida; Malpighiales; Salicaceae. The transcript has 8 exons.
UAUUUUUUAUUUUAUAUAUAUCUUUCUUCAUCACAAUGCUACUCUCUCUCUGUUGAGGUUUCCCUUACACUCAGAAAAUUAAAUAAAGAUGGACCGAAAUCAAUGACUUUCCUAUAGAUUCUCCAAAAAUUCAAGCUCUUUUAGGGUUUCCCAAUUUCUCAGAGGACGUUGUGAAUGAUGCCGGCAAAAUCUGAAAAAGAUCGACGUUUAGACCACCGUGGACCGAGCCCGUUCCAAACAAACAUUUACUCCCAACCUUGGUGGCGUGAUGUGGGGAACAGUCCCUCUUUAGGUGACACUGCAUCAAAAUUGUCUUCAGUAGGGAACCUAAAUGGUUCUCUUGCGAAUGCAGCAAUACAAUCACAAGUUAAUACUGGCUUACAGAAAGGAGCUAUGGUGAACAAAGACAUGCAGACCGAUGUAACAUCGCAAUCUGAUGAAAGUAAUGGACAAGAACACCAUCUCAAACACAUUCCAUCACCAACAACUGUCACCAUGGGCGGACACCUUGAACCAAAUUCCCAGAUGGAACUUGUUGGCCACUCAAUUGUUUUGACUUCACAUCCAUAUACAGAUCCACAGUAUGGCGGGAUGUUUGCUUCUUAUGGAGCACAAGCAAUGGUACCUCAAUUAUAUGGAAUGCCACAGGCCAGAAUGCCCUUGCCCCUUGAAAUGGAAGAGGAGCCUGUGUAUGUAAAUGCAAAACAGUUUCAUGGCAUUAUGAGGCGAAGACAGGCACGUGCUAAGGCAGAGCUUGAAAAAAAGGCAGUAAAAGUUAGAAAGCCAUAUCUACAUGAGUCUCGACACCAACAUGCUAUGAGAAGGGCAAGAGGUUGUGGUGGCCGUUUUCUCAAUACAAAGAAGCUUGAUAAUAACGCUACCAAUCCCACAUCAGAAAAGGGUAGUGGAGAUUUGAAUUCCUCUGGCGAUCUGGAAGAAGGAAAAGGGUCCCAGUCUUCCUCCAAUGGUCAUGGUAAUGGUCAUGCACUCUCAUCAAGAUAUCAUUCAUCAUCACAUGAUGGCAGCUUCUUGGGUCAGCAAAAGGAAACCACACACGGGAAUAGGGUGUCUAAUGGAGCUGUCUCCAUUCAUUAAACUUCCACCUCAAGUUGUACGGGGCCCUUCAGCAUUGCUACAAUGGAAAAGCUGGUGGCAUUAGCCAUGUUCAACUUGGGAGGAAACUUUUCCUGUGCUGUGUUUCUCAGGCAAUUCAUUCUUGGCUUUAGGUCUUUGGUUACUUGGUGCAUUCAUGGUGAUGAGAGUGUAGCAUAUGUGAUGGACUUCAUGCUAUCUUCAGACUUGAACUAAUUUCAUCUCUCUUCUUUUAGCGGCUUCUGUAAAAAUGGCAAAAACUUGUGUAUCUACCUAGUAGAAAUUACUCUCGAAUGUAGUAAUUCCAAAUGGUCUGCAUUUGAACUUUCAUGUGACCUCUUCUUUCUGUGUGAGAAAAGGGUUUACCUCUUCUACCCUAACAUCUCAAAGACGCCAAGAGGUGGCUGUUCUUUCCGUCAGUCUUUUCCCUUCUGAAUUCUGAUUGUUCUUAGGAUUCA